This 397-nucleotide ribosomal RNA is filed under the name uncultured bacterium. RNAcentral's name for it is "partial 16S ribosomal RNA". It matches the Rfam family "Bacterial small subunit ribosomal RNA", at positions 523 to 918 of the family's 1533-position model. The record is from RNAcentral.
AUACGUAGGGGGCGAGCGUUGUCCGGAAUGAUUGGGCGUAAAGGGCGCGUAGGCGGCCCGGUAAGUCUGGAGUGAAAGUCCUGUUUUUAAGAUGGGAAUUGCUUUGGAUACUGUCGGGCUUGAGUGCAGGAGAGGUAAGUGGAAUUCCCAGUGUAGCGGUGAAAUGCGUAGAGAUUGGGAGGAACACCAGUGGCGAAGGCGACUUACUGGACUGUAACUGACGCUGAGGCGCGAAAGUGUGGGGAGCAAACAGGAUUAGAUACCCUGGUAGUCCACACUGUAAACGAUGAAUGCUAGGUGUAGGGGGUAUCGACCCUUUCUGUGCCGCAGUCAACACAAUAAGCAUUCCGCCUGGGGAGUACGGCCGCAAGGUUGAAACUCAAAUGAAUUGACGGGG